GGGUCUCUUCGGUUUCGGGUACAAAUUUUUGUACCCGUGUAGACCUCUAAUGGAAAUAGAAAAUAUUGGUUAUCUAGACAAAUGUGCUCUUAUUUUCAGUAUAUUUUUACAACUCUUUUGUAAUGUCUUCGUUAUCAGAGCCCUUCAAAUUAGAAAAGUGAUGAUGAUCUUGUCAAUGCUGAGAUUUCCAUGCAUCAACAGCCACUACAUCUGGAUCAGGCAGAUCAACAUGCAAUUUGAAGUCGUGUGAUAAAAUACAGAGAUGUGAAGUCGUGUGUCUUUCCAGAUGCCCAAAUCAUUCCCCCUUAAAAGAUGAGCCUGAAGAGGAGAUUUGGGAAGAUGCUGUUUCAUAAGUCGCUUUGCCAGAUCACCUGUGGUCGGGAUGUCUGCUAACAAGAUGCCUUGCUGGUCUGGGCGAGUUUAAAGUCUUACACAGACAGUCCAGAGGUUCUGAAGUCCAUCUUUGAUUUCAUUGAUGCUGUCAUCAUAUAAAGUACAGCAUGAGCCAGAAUGGAUGGGUGGUGGUGGCCAUAAGAAGACUGUCAACUAAAUCAACAACAAAAUUCAUAUUUGCAGUUUUUGUUGAAUAAAGUUUUUCUAUUCAGAUGAAUAAAAUGACUUUUAAACAUGAUUUUGUUUUCAUAUUUUAUUAUUUUAUUCUAUAUUUAGAAUAUUACACUUUUGCACUACUAACUGGAAACCUAACUGUUUGAAAGAAUGUGUUUUUAUCCUUAAAAAAUAUUUUUAACAGCUGCUUUCAUGUUUAUUUGGAAAGGGUAGGCACCUGCCAUCUUAUUUGUCCACAUUUAAACUUUACCUUCUUUAGGUGUUUAGUUUUAUGAAUGGGGUUGUACUGUAAGUUAUGCGCAGCAAGUUAUAUUCAUAUGAUAAUUGCUUUUAAAAUAACACGUUUACAGUAAAUCAUAUAGUGAGUAUUGCAGUGUCAAGUAAAAAUCUAUAUUAAGUGUUAUAAAAACAACAAGGAAAUAGAAGGUUGAAAUUGCGUCAUGAUAUCAACCUUUAUUCACCUAUGUUGAAAGUGUGAC
This is a non-coding RNA of Paramisgurnus dabryanus, 1046 nucleotides long. The record is from RefSeq and is a predicted model, not a curated record. NCBI's taxonomy places the organism in Eukaryota, Metazoa, Chordata, Actinopteri, Cypriniformes, Cobitidae.